GGUUGUAUGGCUGAGUGGUUUAAAGCAUAAUACUUGAGUUAUUAAGACUAAAUAGUCCACAUGUUCGAAUCAUGUUGCAUCCG
RNAcentral lists this transfer RNA (83 nucleotides) under Metschnikowia sp. 04-218.3. RNAcentral's name for it is "tRNA-Ser". It matches the Rfam family "tRNA". Rfam says of the family: Transfer RNA (tRNA) molecules are approximately 80 nucleotides in length. Lineage: Eukaryota; Fungi; Ascomycota; Pichiomycetes; Serinales; Metschnikowiaceae. The record is from RNAcentral.